RNAcentral lists this ribosomal RNA (497 nucleotides) under uncultured bacterium. RNAcentral's name for it is "partial 16S ribosomal RNA". It matches the Rfam family "Bacterial small subunit ribosomal RNA", at positions 28 to 507 of the family's 1533-position model. The record is from RNAcentral.
GACGAACGCUGGCGGCGUGCCUAAUACAUGCAAGUAGAACGCUGAAGCGAGGAGCUUGCUCUUCUUGGAUGAGUUGCGAACGGGUGAGUAACGCGUAGGUAACCUGCCUUGUAGCGGGGGAUAACUAUUGGAAACGAUAGCUAAUACCGCAUAACAAUGGAUGACACAUGUCAUUUAUUUGAAAGGGGCAAUUGCUCCACUACAAGAUGGACCUGCGUUGUAUUAGCUAGUAGGUGAGGUAAUGGCUCACCUAGGCGACGAUACAUAGCCGACCUGAGAGGGUGAUCGGCCACACUGGGACUGAGACACGGCCCAGACUCCUACGGGAGGCAGCAGAAGGGAAUCUUCGGCAAUGGGGGCAACCCUGACCGAGCAACGCCGCGUGAGUGAAGAAGGUUUUCGGAUCGUAAAGCUCUGUUGUAAGUCAAGAACGGGUGUGAGAGUGGAAAGUUCACACUGUGACGGUAGCUUACCAGAAAGGGACGGCUAACUACGUG